GAUGAACGCUGGCGGCGUGCCUAAUACAUGCAAGUCGAGCGAACAGACGAGGAGCUUGCUCCUCUGACGUUAGCGGCGGACGGGUGAGUAACACGUGGAUAACCUACCUAUAAGACUGGGAUAACUUCGGGAAACCGGAGCUAAUACCGGAUAAUAUAUUGAACCGCAUGGUUCAAUAGUGAAAGACGGUUUUGCUGUCACUUAUAGAUGGAUCCGCGCCGCAUUAGCUAGUUGGUAAGGUAACGGCUUACCAAGGCGACGAUGCGUAGCCGACCUGAGAGGGUGAUCGGCCACACUGGAACUGAGACACGGUCCAGACUCCUACGGGAGGCAGCAGUAGGGAAUCUGCCGCAAUGGGCGAAAGCCUGACGGAGCAACGCCGCGUGAGUGAUGAAGGUCUUCGGAUCGUAAAACUCUGUUAUGAGGGAAGAACAAAUGUGUAAGUAACUAUGCACGUCUUGACGGUACCUAAUCAGAAAGCCACGGCUAACUACGUG
RNAcentral lists this ribosomal RNA (497 nucleotides) under uncultured bacterium. RNAcentral's name for it is "partial 16S ribosomal RNA". It matches the Rfam family "Bacterial small subunit ribosomal RNA", at positions 28 to 507 of the family's 1533-position model. The record is from RNAcentral.